This 895-nucleotide ribosomal RNA is filed under the name Alexandrium tamarense. RNAcentral's name for it is "partial Bacterial small subunit ribosomal RNA". It matches the Rfam family "Bacterial small subunit ribosomal RNA", at positions 1 to 932 of the family's 1533-position model. The record is from RNAcentral. Lineage: Eukaryota; Dinophyceae; Gonyaulacales; Pyrocystaceae.
AAGGAGAGUUUGAUCCUGGCUCAGAAGGAACGCUGGCAGCGUGCAUAACACAUGCAAGUCGAACGAUGAAGCAUUCUUCGGAAUGUGGAAGAGUGGCGAACGGGUGAGGAACACGUAAGAAUCUGCCCCUCGGUCGGGGACAACUCUUGGAAACGAGAGCUAAUACCCGAUACGCUGUGGAGUGAAAGAAUUUCGCCGAGGGAUGAUCUUGCGUCUGAUUAGCUAGUUGGUGUGGUAAAGGCAUACCAAGGCGACGAUCAGUAGCUGGUCUGAGAGGAUGAACAGCCACAUUGGAACUGAGACACGGUCCAAACUCCUACGGGAGGCAGCAGUGGGGAAUUUUCCGCAAUGGGCGAAAGCCUGACGGAGCAACGCCGCGUGAGGGAUGAAGGCCUCUGGGCUGUAAACCUCUUUUAUCAAGGAAGAAGAUCUGACGGUACUUGAUGAAUAAGCCACGGCUAAUUCCGUGCCAGCAGCCGCGGUAAUACGGGAGUGGCAAGCGUUAUCCGGAAUUAUUGGGCGUAAAGCGUCUGCAGGUUGAUGUAAAAGUCUUUUGUUAAAUAUCAGGGCUCAACCCGGAAUCUGCAAAAGAAACUAUAUAUCUCGAGUAUGGUAGAGGUAAGGGGAAUUUCCAGUGGAGCGGUGAAAUGCGUAGAUAUUGGAAAGAACACCAAUUGCGAAGGCACUUUACUGGGCUAUUACUGACACUCAGAGACGAAAGCUAGGGUAGCAAAUGGGAUUAGAUACCCCAGUAGUCCUAGCCGUAAACAAUGGAUACUAGAUGUUGGACAGAUCGACCUGUGCAGUAUCAAAGCUAACGCGUUAAGUAUCCCGCCUGGGAAGUAUGCUCGCAAGAGUGAAACUCAAAGGAAUUGACGGGGGCCCGCACAAGCGG